GUCUACGGACAUGCUACCCAGAACAAGCCCGAUCCUGUCUGAUCUCAGAAGCUAAGCAAAGCCGGACCUGGUUAGGACUUGGAUAGGACACUACCUAGGAAGACCAGGUGCUGUAGGCG
This 119-nucleotide ribosomal RNA is filed under the name Pteropus alecto (black flying fox). The record is from RNAcentral. Lineage: Eukaryota; Metazoa; Chordata; Mammalia; Chiroptera; Pteropodidae.